AAAGGGACCAAAGACGUUGCAAUUGGACGAGGUUGGACAUGGGGGGGCGAAGCAGAAGAGUAGAGAUUAAAUUAAAGAACAGCAGGUGUGAAAAAACAAGAGACCGGCUGUGAAGAAGAAACGGAACCAGGUGGACCAGAUUGAAUGGAAGAUCAUUUCCGUAAACUGGCGAACAGCAGAGGCAUCGCGGGAGGAGCAAGGACACUGCAAGACACACGUGUUGUUGUGGAAUUUAGAAUACAAAAAAAAAGCUCUCUUGUUUUAGCGAGGGAUACCGGGAAUAUCUUGAUGUCAGUGAUAGCAGUAAUAAGAGUUGCAAGGGUACGGAUGUGGAGAAAUAUAGCAAAGGGGAAUGCUUUUGGGAAGGAUACAGUUUCUUCCCAUGUGUAAUUAAUACGUUACGCGGAGAAACGAGAAGGUAACGCUUUGGUUGCUACGAAAUCGGAUAACAAUUUUUUCCCAUGAUUUGUUGUUCGGAGACAGAUCCAUGUAUAAACGAUUAUACAUAAGGCUAAAUCCAAUUAUAAUAUUUUUCUCUCCUUCUUUGUUGCUUUGAACCUGGUCCACGUGUAGACGAAUCGUGCUUGAGGAGAAACGCGAGGCAAGUACAUUAUUCUCCUCUUUUAGUUCUGGGUUUUUUUAUGCGUUAUUUAGAACAUGCUCCAUACGAAUCACGAAUGAAAUAAAAUAAGAAAAAGAGCUGUUUCAGAUAUUUAUAUAUAACGAAUGCCUUAAAUGAUUAUGAUUUAGACCAGCUGAGUGAAAUUAGCUUGUUCAUAGUUACAGUAUCCCUCCUGAACAGGUAAGAACGUCCACUUAAUGUGGAUCUUACCAGCUUUCUGGUACUUGUAAAAUAAAGUAAAACAGGGGUGGAUGAAAUGUUAAACCUUAAUGAUGUUGAUAAAGAAAAGCAUUGGAAAUGACAUGACCACUUACCAAUUACAUUAGUUAAAUGGUAUGAGAAUGUGUGUGCGUUAAAUUUACAUUUUAACUGUAGAGCAUGAGUGAGCACCAUCUCUUGUGCAAAAUGCAAUGAUGCUUCGCGGACGCACGAUGGCGCGCCUCAUCUGGCAUGCUCACCUGCCGCAAGGUUAAAGGCUGGUUCCUCGUUUUGACUGCGUUCGUCAUAAACAAAUGACAGCAUAUGAAAUAAGUGUGAACAACCUGUUUUCAGGUGAAGGAAAUAAAGGAGACUGCUGGUGUCACCCACUGACCUUCAGGCUCCACCAAAAGAAGCAAGCAGGAUGGUUGAGGGGUUCUUGUGGCGAUCUCAGAUGGGAAUAUUGGACUGCAGUCUCGGAUUUCUGCAAUCCUCCAGUCACCAGCUGCUUCCGGCUGUAGUGGUCAUGUCCUGAGUCUAAUACCUGUGCGUCCUGGGUACGUGUCCCACAGUGAAAUAGAGAACUGCCUUCUCAUCUCCCACAGCCUGGUGCUGCCUCCCUGACACAUUCAUCCUGUGUCUCCAGCACUGAAACCUCAUGAGAGACAUUUUUAAACUACAUCAAGCUGUAGACAACUUGGCAAUGUGGAAAUACAAUAGGUGACUUGCACAGUGGCUAUAAUACAUGGAAAGCAACCUUCCUGAAAGCUACACUGCAAGGAGUUAAAUUAUGAUACAUUUUACUUUGUGCUGUGUGCAAGUGUAAAGCAACCUAUUACCAAUGCUAAUGUGUUUCUUCUUAUUUACAAAUUUAUUUUACCAUAAUGAAUGUAUUAAAUAUCAAGAUCUUGGGAUCUUGUUCAUUGUUCCGGAGGCAAAUUCUUAGGCCUGCAGUUGCACAAUUGGGGUUACUGUACAAUCCAGUUAAUCUCAUUCAUUAGUAUAAGUGUAACCAGCAUAACCAGAAUGAAAGUGAAUAAGAGUGUGUAAGUAUUUGUUCUGCUUACCAGUGAAGUAGACAUAUAUCUUUAUUGCACAUACAGUAUCCAGCAGUACAAUAUUACUACUGAACUACAUUGUGGGAGGUAUUAGAGUAACUGUUGGGAUAUGUUAAUUUAGACUUUACCAAAAGGCAUAUAAAACAGAAUAAAGGUGACUUGUUUUUGAUAGUUGCAGCAACUAAUUUCAAUCUACAAGGUUUUAAGAAUAGAAGUAAUCACAUUUAAUGGCAUGACUAAUACUCAACUUUUGUCACACAUGGAAGGCAAACACAAGAGCUGAAUAAAGCUGAAUUUGCACAGGACUGUGUCCUGCUCCUCUGAUGAAGAAUCUCCAAAAUCAAAGAAACUACCUCAUUUUAAGUAGUAUUAUUUUGUAUACUUUGCUUUUAUACUUGUCCUUUUUUGUGAAAGUAACAUAUUUGUACAGUAAGUCUAAAUCCGAGAGAUGAAUUCCUGAUUUUGAAUAUCCAUAGCCCUCCUUCUAAGGGGAAGUAUCGGAAGCACUCAUGCAAAAUGCUCUCGUUAAAGUGCCAAUAGAGACAAUAAACACAAUGUACUGGUUGCUAGGCAAUGUCUUAUGAGGUGAUUAACAAAAGCUAUUAUUUGCAUCACUUCUUUUCAUCUUCUGGUUCUCUGUAGACUAGAAAUGUGAGACAACUGUGCUCGACACAUCACACAUGUGUGAACAUGGAACACAGUGAUCAAAGUUGCUCCAAAUUUCUGCUUUCUUGAUCUCUAUCUAUCGCUGUGGUGGCGAUCUGUGUGAUUAUGGAGACAAAGAAAAACGUAAGGAGAAAAUUCAGCCGUAAGGGAGCUCAAAUAAUUUCCACAUGCAAUAAGGCCUUCAUGACACCCACACCCUUCCUAAAUUCCUCUUCCAUUCGAAGGCCCAGUCACUGGUGUCCCAAUGUGCACCAGUCUGACUGCCUACAGUACAAGCACCACUUGGAAAGGGAAACACAUACUGUGGGUGAAGGUUGUGUUUUGCUGUGUCAUAUGAUAAGAUCAAAUGCCAUACAGUGCUUUCAAUGCAUUCUGUUUUACGCGACUGUAGCAGCCGUGGGAAAGCUACAUGUGGUUCUGUGUGUAUAUUUAUAAAUGAGGACUGCAUAAGACCUGCAUUUAAAAAAAUAAAAAUGCUUAAAAUAAGGAGAAAAAAAUAGAGCAGCUGGGAAACAGCAAAGAAAUUACUGUACAGUAUUUAUAACCUGUUCACAGACUUCAUGUAAUAUUUGCUUAAUGUCUUUCAGUCUCCACUUAAAAGCGUUCUUUGUUUCUUAAACCUAUGAUAUCAGUACAUUUUGAUGCUGUUGCCAGCAGUGAUCAC
Lepisosteus oculatus (spotted gar) is the source of this 3208-nucleotide non-coding RNA. Lineage: Eukaryota; Metazoa; Chordata; Actinopteri; Semionotiformes; Lepisosteidae. The record is from RefSeq and is a predicted model, not a curated record.